GGUUAUGCUUGGCUUUGCAACCAUCAGGAAAGGCCUCACGUCUGCCUAACUGCAAAACAAUUUGGUUGGCUUAUAAAUUGCUGCCUCUAUCAUGUGCUUCUGAAUUAAAAGGAACGGAUGGUUUUUAAAGGUUUAUCUGUUUCAUUAUUGAUGCAGAAUGACCUCGUGCUGACAAAUUUCGAUUUUCACACGGUUUCUUUGCUGAUGCAGUAUCUCUGCCACCCAUGCUCUAGGGCAGCGUGGAGCCACUUCAGAGCAUGGCUUUUGUGAGCCAGCGCCCAGCAGGGUGUUCUUUUCUGAGUGCAAAGAGAGAAUCCACUGACCUCAUUUGCUUCCAUCCUGUGAACCUCUCAGUGUGUUUCAGAACACCAGGGUCUGAACAGAGAAGCUUCAGAAUACUUUCUCCGACUAGAGAACUUUUUUAUGGUGGGAGGAAAAAAUGUUGCCAGUCCCACUUCACAGACACCUGGAAUUCAUGAAGUCUGAGGACUUCUUUCAUUUUACUUUCAACUAAAAGCUCUAGCACGAAACAGCAAAGGCUCACAGAACUAAAGAUCAGGAGGUGGCCCUGUGAGAGGGUGUUCAGCCUGGAUCCCUGGUGAAACUCCAUCAUUGAGCAGCAUAUCUACUUCAGAAAGCGUGGAAAGAAAAGAGCCUGGUGGGAAAAGUCUAUCAAGUGAUAGUGACGUGCCCUUAUGGAAAAAAUUCUGGGUUCAGAAACAAUAGAGAUACCAAACAAGAUAAGACUAAGCCACAGAGGUAUCUGAAAAGCUGCCAUCAAUCAAAGCUCUUUGUGAAGCUGGUUAGUGCAGGUUCCAUUGUUCUAAGGAGCAGGCAAAAGGAACAAAUAAAAUCCAGCUGUUUCUUCAUUCUUGCACCAGGUGAGUCCCAGUAUCAAUACUUCAUUCAUUGUGGAGUAAGGGGAAAGUGGCCUUCAUUUCCUUUCUCAUUCCAUUUUGAAACCUCAGAUUUCUUUCUUUCUGCCAAUGAUACCCAGUUGUUGAGUCAUAGCCACCUGGGCUCUAGUUCUGGCAUUGCUUGCAAUGUCAUCAUGAGAACCUGAUAGAUGGUGUUAAUAGCAGAGUUUAGACUUACUGAUCAAGAAAAAAAUACUUUUAGAUUGCUUACCUUUGGAGGGUUUUGCUAUGUUUAAAGAAAGUCAGUUUUUGACACUCAAAUUUAAUUGACUGUCCUAUAUAGCAGUCAUUUCACAUGAUAAUUUUUUUCACAAAAUAAAGGAAUUUAGUGCGCUAAAAGUUUCCUGAAUGGUGGGAUGUUGAUAAAAGUAAAGUUGUGAAUUGGGGGGGUCACGUGAACCAGGAUUUAAUUGCAUUUGUGCCACUUGGUGUUAGACCCUUUCUCUACUCAUAUUAACUCUACCUCUGUUGUUCAUAGUUUCCUUACUCGCAAAUUAACAUAACUGUGUGAUUUUUGUGGACUCUAGAAAAACAUCUUGUGGGAUGGAUUUCUAGAUUUAGAAAUGCUUUUAGCAUUUAUUAACACCCAUAACCUAGGAAAUGAAAGUAAUAAAAAUAAUAUUUUGGUAAGACAGAAAAUCUGUUUUCAUUUCUCCUUUUUGAUAUUUUUAAUUGGUUGGGGCAGAAAGUUCUUUUGUGUUCUUGUGUGGGCAUGUAUAUGCUAAUGAAUUUGAGAUGAGGAGCCACUGUCUUUAAGACAACUCUCCCUUAUGAUGUUUUGCAUACAUGUAUAUUCUCUUUCACUCUAGAUUCAACUUCGAAUAAACACCAUGCUCUCAGCCAAGGAAGAGUAAAUCUAGCAUUAGUCAUGACUGUCUUGUUUCGCCCACGUGGAAGAAUCUCACAUCCAUUCGUCUCCGUGUUUCCCUGUAUUGUUUUUGAUCUUUUAGCUUCGAGAGAUUCUUCCCAGCUUCUAGAACUCCCAAGUGAUCCCUGAGCAUAGUCCAGAACUACCAGAAAGAGUAUUUUUCCAACAAGUUUCCAAAGUAUUUGUUGGUAUGGGGUGUUGACUACAAGAGCAAUCAAUAACUCUGCUUGGAGUUUUCUAUAGCUGUAAUGCAAGCCUGACUAAUAAAUCCAACCGAGGCACCCAGACAGACAGGCAAUAUUUUCAUCCAUGUGUUGAGGCCUUUGCAUAUUCUGGACAAUGUGGGUUAGGCACUUCACGUACCUUUCUUUGCUUAGUCUUCAUAACAGCUGAGUGAAUCAGGUAAUAUAGUAUAGUCUCCACUUUGUUGAGAGUUUAGGUAACUUGCUCAAGACCACUCAAACAUUUGCCCCUGGUUCCAAAUGCUGCAGUCUUAACUACUUAAAACAUUGUUGGUCGGACAUGGUGGCUCAUGCCUGUAAUCCCAGUAUUUUGGGAGGCUGAGGC
Molecule: long non-coding RNA, 2352 nt
Filed under: Homo sapiens (human)
Lineage: Eukaryota; Metazoa; Chordata; Mammalia; Primates; Hominidae
Description: HSALNT0392778
Source: RNAcentral